UACGGGGGGAGCAAGCGUUGUUCGGAUUUACUGGGCGUAAAGGGCGCGUAGGCGGCCAGCACAAGUCAGUUGUGAAAUCUCCGAGCUUAACUCGGAAAGGUUAACUGAUACUGUGCGGCUAGAGUGCAGAAGGGGCAACUGGAAUUCUUGGUGUAGCGGUGAAAUGCGUAGAUAUCAAGAGGAACACCAGUGGCGAAGGCGAGUCCCUGGACAGCUCCUGACACUGAGGCACGAAAGCUAGGGGAGCAAACAGG
This 254-nucleotide ribosomal RNA is filed under the name uncultured bacterium. RNAcentral describes it as "partial 16S ribosomal RNA". It matches the Rfam family "Bacterial small subunit ribosomal RNA", at positions 524 to 776 of the family's 1533-position model. The record is from RNAcentral.